CCUACGGGUGGCAGCAGUGGGGAAUCUUCCGCAAUGGGCGAAAGCCUGACGGAGCAACGCCGCGUGAGAGAAGGAAGGCCUGCGGGUUGUAAAGAUCUGUUGACAGGGACGAAGAAGCCAUGCGAAUAGUGUGGUGUAUGACGGUACCUGUUGAGAAAGCGCCGGCUAACUACGUGCCAGCAGCCGCGGUAAGACGUAGGGAGCAAGCGUUGGGCGGAAUUACUGGGCUUAAAGGGCGCGUAGGUGGGUGGUUACGUCCGGUGUGAAAACGCUGGGCUCAACCUGGCGACGGCACUUGAAACUGGGUAUCUUGAGCGCAGGAGAGGCAAGUGGAAUUCCUAGUGUAGCGGUGAAAUGCGUAGAUAUUAGGCAGAACACCAGUGGCGAAGGCGGCUUUCUGGACUGUACCUGACGCUGAGGCGCGAAAGCGUGGGUAGCGAACAGGAUUAGAUACCCUUGUAGUC
This 464-nucleotide ribosomal RNA is filed under the name uncultured bacterium. Its description in RNAcentral is "partial 16S ribosomal RNA". It matches the Rfam family "Bacterial small subunit ribosomal RNA", at positions 338 to 795 of the family's 1533-position model. The record is from RNAcentral.